This 800-nucleotide ribosomal RNA is filed under the name uncultured bacterium. RNAcentral describes it as "bacterial SSU rRNA". It matches the Rfam family "Bacterial small subunit ribosomal RNA", at positions 1 to 804 of the family's 1533-position model. The record is from RNAcentral.
UAUAGUUUGAUCCUGGCUCAAGACGAACGCUGGCGGCGUGCUUAACACAUGCAAGUCGAGCGAAGUAUUCAAGAUAUAUUUCUUCGGAUUGAAGUCUUGAAUAUCUUAGCGGCGAACGGGUGAGUAACGCGUGAGAAACCUGCCUUUCACAAAGGGAUAGCCUCGGGAAACUGGGAUUAAUACCUUAUGAUACUUCAAAUUCGUAUGAAAUUGAAGUUAAAGCGUAAAGCGGUGAAAGAUGGUCUCGCGUCCCAUUAGUUUGUUGGUGAGGUAACGGCUCACCAAGACCGCGAUGGGUAGCCGGCCUGAGAGGGUGAACGGCCACACUGGAACUGAGACACGGUCCAGACUCCUACGGGAGGCAGCAGUGGGGAAUAUUGCACAAUGGAGGAAACUCUGAUGCAGCGACGCCGCGUGAGUGAAGAAGGCCUUCGGGUCGUAAAACUUUGUCCUAGGGGACGAUAAUGACGGUACCCUAGGAGGAAGCCCCGGCUAACUACGUGCCAGCAGCCGCGGUAAUACGUAGGGGGCAAGCGUUGUCCGGAUUUACUGGGUGUAAAGGGCGCGUAGGCGGUUAUCUAAGUCAGCUGUGAAAGUCCAGGGCUUAACCCUGGAAUUGCAAUUGAAACUAAAUAACUUGAGUUAAGGAGAGGAGAGCGGAAUUCCUAGUGUAGCGGUGAAAUGCGUAGAUAUUAGGAAGAACACCAGUGGCGAAGGCGGCUCUCUGGACUUAAACUGACGCUGAGGCGCGAAAGCGUGGGUAGCGAACAGGAUUAGAUACCCUGGUAGUCCACGCCGUA